RNAcentral lists this ribosomal RNA (271 nucleotides) under uncultured archaeon. RNAcentral's name for it is "partial 16S ribosomal RNA". It matches the Rfam family "Archaeal small subunit ribosomal RNA", at positions 477 to 747 of the family's 1478-position model. The record is from RNAcentral.
CGGCGUCACGAGUGGCAAUCACGUUUAUUGGGUCUAAAGCGUUCGUAGCCGGUUUAAUAAAUCUUUUGUGAAAUUGUCGGGCUUAACCUGACACCGUGCAGAAGACACUGCUAAACUAGAGACCGGGAGGGGUUAGAAGUAUUUCAGGGGGAGCGGUAAAAUGUUAUAAUCCCUGAAAGACUACCAAUGGCGAAGGCACCUAACCAGAACGGAUCUGACGGUGAGGAACGAAGGCUAGGGGAGCGAACCGGAUUAGAUACCCGAGUAGUCC